Gossypium arboreum is the source of this 398-nucleotide long non-coding RNA. RefSeq lists it as uncharacterized. The record is from RefSeq and is a predicted model, not a curated record. The transcript is spliced from 2 exons. NCBI's taxonomy places the organism in Eukaryota, Viridiplantae, Streptophyta, Magnoliopsida, Malvales, Malvaceae.
AAUUUUCUCAUUCCUAUUUCAUUUUCAUCUCUUCUGCAUCAUUUUCUUUAGUUGCUCCCAUGAAGUGAAAGUUGAAAAAAGCUCUGCAUGGGGUAGUGAUCAUGAGAUUUGAGUUUGGAAAGUAGAAAAUCCAGUAACCUGUAUGUUGGUGGUCAUGCUUAGCUGGCUGGAUGAAGGAGGCAUUGUUGGUUGGAAAAGCUAAAUUGGCAGGGGGGGAAGGACAACAUAUGAGUUUCUGUACUCUACUAUUUUGGGUGCUAUUUUGGUUAUUAUACUGCUUGUAUGUUCUGCUCUGAGUUCAAUUUGAGUCCUAUGGCUGUAUUGUAACACCCCUAACCUGUAUCCGUUUCUGGAUUAGGGUUAUGAGGCAUUACUAAUUAAAAUAUUAUUCACAUAAA